UUCCAAGGGUGAUAUCCAGGUGAGGGAAUCCCGUGAUCUCCGUUUCGAUGGAGAAAUUCGGGGACGGACCCGCCGCUGUAUUCGGGGACAAAACUUGCAGUAAGCCACUGCCCUUCGACGAGCUCAGGGCGGGAAGGCGCAAGGAGUAGGAAGAUCCGAGAGUCAGAAAACCUGCCAGGAUAUUCUUCACAAG
Molecule: non-coding RNA, 193 nt
Filed under: Deltaproteobacteria bacterium
Lineage: Bacteria; Pseudomonadati; Myxococcota; Myxococcia
Source: RNAcentral